GAAGAGGGGAGGACCAUAGGACAGUCUAGCUGGUGAUAGGAGCACACCUGAAGAACACUCGGGACCGUGCCUGGCCAAGGGCAAUGGAUGUCAUGUGUGCGCAUGAGUGCGUGCACACACAUAUACACAUGUGCAUACACACAUGUGCAUACACACUGGCAUACACACAUACACACAUGUACAUACAUGUGCAUGUGCAGAGGCACAGGUGCACACAUGCAUACACAUACACAUAUGCACACACAUGUGCAUGUGCAUGUAUGCACCGGCAUGUGUACACACAUGUACAGGCACACAUGUACAGACACACAUGCACGCACAUAUGGGCACUCAAACAUAGGCACAUGCAUGCACACACAUUUGUACACAGGUAUGCGCACAUAUGCACACAUGGAUGCAUACAUGUGCACACAUGGGCACACACACACACACACACACACACACACACUCAUGGGCAUUCUCACACAGGCACACUUUUAGACCAAAUCCAUAAGAAGACCCCAGUCUCAGACAGGGUGGAAGCCCUGGAGUACUUACUAAUUCAGCUGCCAGGAUAGGGUUGGGCCAUUGCUAGGCCAGCAGCCCAGGGAAAUUGCAAGUUGCCAGUGGCCACCGUGCCACCACCAAUAAGCUUUGGCUGCAUCAGGGAAACCAUCAAAAAGCCAUGUGUGCCUCAGUUUCCUUCCCUCUGCACAGAAUCACCACGUCAGAAACCAUUCCAUCUAGCUACCUGCCUUCAUAGUCACGGGCACUGAGGCCUGCACAGGACAGAGAGCAGGGCAGAGCCCACAAGUAU
Molecule: long non-coding RNA, 796 nt
Filed under: Rattus norvegicus (Norway rat)
Lineage: Eukaryota; Metazoa; Chordata; Mammalia; Rodentia; Muridae
Description: long non-coding RNA NONRATT024875
Source: RNAcentral